Molecule: ribosomal RNA, 433 nt
Filed under: uncultured bacterium
Lineage: Bacteria
Description: partial 16S ribosomal RNA
Rfam family: Bacterial small subunit ribosomal RNA
Source: RNAcentral
AACGAACGCUGGCGGCAGGCCUAACACAUGCAAGUCGAGCGGACCUUUCGGGGUCAGCGGCGGACGGGUGAGUAACGCGUGGGAAUAUGCCCUUCUCUACGGAAUAGUCCUGGGAAACUGGGGGUAAUACCGUAUACGCCCUUUGGGGGAAAGAUUUAUCGGGGAAGGAUUAGCCCGCGUUGGAUUAGGUAGUUGGUGGGGUAAUGGCCUACCACGCCGACGAUCCAUAGCUGGUUUGAGAGGAUGAUCAGCCACACUGGGACUGAGACACGGCCCAGACUCCUACGGGAGGCAGCAGUGGGGAAUCUUAGAAAAUGGGGGCAACCCUGAUCGAGCCAUGCCGCGUGAGUGAUGAAGGCCUUAGGGUUGUAAAGCUCUUUCAGCUGGGAAGAUAAUGACGGUACCAGCAGAAGAAGCCCCGGCUAACUCCGUG